GGUUAAGCGACUAAGCGUACACGGUGGAUGCCCUGGCAGUCAGAGGCGAUGAAGGGCGUGCUAAUCUGCGAUAAGCGCCGGUAAGGUGAUAUGAACCGUUAUAACCGGCGAUACCCGAAUGGGGAAACCCAGUGUGACUCGUCACACUAUCAUUAACUGAAUCCAUAGGUUAAUGAGGCGAACCGGGGGAACUGAAACAUCUAAGUACCCCGAGGAAAAGAAAUCAACCGAGAUUCCCCCAGUAGCGGCGAGCGAACGGGGAGGAGCCCAGAGCCUGAAUCAGCAUGUGUGUUAGUGGAAGCGUCUGGAAAGGCGCGCGAUACAGGGUGACAGCCCCGUACACAAAAGCGCAUGUGCUGUGAGCUCGAUGAGUAGGGCGGGACACGUGGUAUCCUGUCUGAAUAUGGGGGGACCAUCCUCCAAGGCUAAAUACUCCUGACUGACCGAUAGUGAACCAGUACCGUGAGGGAAAGGCGAAAAGAACCCCGGCGAGGGGAGUGAAAAAGAACCUGAAACCGUGUACGUACAAGCAGUGGGAGCACCCUUUGGGGUGUGACUGCGUACCUUUUGUAUAAUGGGUCAGCGACUUAUAUUCUGUAGCAAGGUUAACCGAAUAGGGGAGCCGGAGGGAAACCGAGUCUUAACCGGGCGUUAAGUUGCAGGGUAUAGACCCGAAACCCGGUGAUCUAGCCAUGGGCAGGUUGAAGGUUGGGUAACACUAACUGGAGGACCGAACCGACUAAUGUUGAAAAAUUAGCGGAUGACCUGUGGCUGGGGGUGAAAGGCCAAUCAAACCGGGAGAUAGCUGGUUCUCCCCGAAAGCUAUUUAGGUAGCGCCUCGUGAAUUCAUCUCCGGGGGUAGAGCACUGUUUCGGCUAGGGGGCCAUCCCGGCUUACCAACCCGAUGCAAACUGCGAAUACCGGAGAAUGUUAUCACGGGAGACACACGGCGGGUGCUAACGUCCGUCGUGAAGAGGGAAACAACCCAGACCGCCAGCUAAGGUCCCAAAGUCAUGGUUAAGUGGGAAACGAUGUGGGAAGGCCCAGACAGCCAGGAUGUUGGCUUAGAAGCAGCCAUCAUUUAAAGAAAGCGUAAUAGCUCACUGGUCGAGUCGGCCUGCGCGGAAGAUGUAACGGGGCUAAACCAUGCACCGAAGCUGCGGCAGCGACGCUUAUGCGUUGUUGGGUAGGGGAGCGUUCUGUAAGCCUGUGAAGGUGGCCUGUGAGGGUUGCUGGAGGUAUCAGAAGUGCGAAUGCUGACAUAAGUAACGAUAAAGCGGGUGAAAAGCCCGCUCGCCGGAAGACCAAGGGUUCCUGUCCAACGUUAAUCGGGGCAGGGUGAGUCGACCCCUAAGGCGAGGCCGAAAGGCGUAGUCGAUGGGAAACGGGUUAAUAUUCCCGUACUUGGUGUUACUGCGAAGGGGGGACGGAGAAGGCUAUGUUGGCCGGGCGACGGUUGUCCCGGUUUAAGCGUGUAGGCUGGUUUUCCAGGCAAAUCCGGAAAAUCAAGGCUGAGGCGUGACGACGAGGCACUACGGUGCUGAAGCAACAAAUGCCCUGCUUCCAGGAAAAGCCUCUAAGCAUCAGGUAACACGAAAUCGUACCCCAAACCGACACAGGUGGUCAGGUAGAGAAUACCAAGGCGCUUGAGAGAACUCGGGUGAAGGAACUAGGCAAAAUGGUGCCGUAACUUCGGGAGAAGGCACGCUGACAUGUAGGUGAAGUGAUUUACUCAUGGAGCUGAAGUCAGUCGAAGAUACCAGCUGGCUGCAACUGUUUAUUAAAAACACAGCACUGUGCAAACACGAAAGUGGACGUAUACGGUGUGACGCCUGCCCGGUGCCGGAAGGUUAAUUGAUGGGGUCAGCGCAAGCGAAGCUCCUGAUCGAAGCCCCGGUAAACGGCGGCCGUAACUAUAACGGUCCUAAGGUAGCGAAAUUCCUUGUCGGGUAAGUUCCGACCUGCACGAAUGGCGUAAUGAUGGCCAGGCUGUCUCCACCCGAGACUCAGUGAAAUUGAACUCGCUGUGAAGAUGCAGUGUACCCGCGGCAAGACGGAAAGACCCCGUGAACCUUUACUAUAGCUUGACACUGAACAUUGAGCCUUGAUGUGUAGGAUAGGUGGGAGGCUUUGAAGUGUGGACGCCAGUCUGCAUGGAGCCGACCUUGAAAUACCACCCUUUAAUGUUUGAUGUUCUAACGUGGACCCGUGAUCCGGGUUGCGGACAGUGUCUGGUGGGUAGUUUGACUGGGGCGGUCUCCUCCUAAAGAGUAACGGAGGAGCACGAAGGUUGGCUAAUCCUGGUCGGACAUCAGGAGGUUAGUGCAAUGGCAUAAGCCAGCUUGACUGCGAGCGUGACGGCGCGAGCAGGUGCGAAAGCAGGUCAUAGUGAUCCGGUGGUUCUGAAUGGAAGGGCCAUCGCUCAACGGAUAAAAGGUACUCCGGGGAUAACAGGCUGAUACCGCCCAAGAGUUCAUAUCGACGGCGGUGUUUGGCACCUCGAUGUCGGCUCAUCACAUCCUGGGGCUGAAGUAGGUCCCAAGGGUAUGGCUGUUCGCCAUUUAAAGUGGUACGCGAGCUGGGUUUAGAACGUCGUGAGACAGUUCGGUCCCUAUCUGCCGUGGGCGCUGGAGAACUGAGGGGGGCUGCUCCUAGUACGAGAGGACCGGAGUGGACGCAUCACUGGUGUUCGGGUUGUCAUGCCAAUGGCACUGCCCGGUAGCUAAAUGCGGAAGAGAUAAGUGCUGAAAGCAUCUAAGCACGAAACUUGCCCCGAGAUGAGUUCUCCCUGAGACUUAGAGUCUCCUGAAGGAACGUUGAAGACGACGACGUUGAUAGGCCGGGUGUGUAAGCGCAGCGAUGCGUUGAGCUAACCGGUACUAAUGAACCGUGAGGCUUAACCUU
RNAcentral lists this ribosomal RNA (2904 nucleotides) under Salmonella enterica subsp. enterica serovar Minnesota. RNAcentral describes it as "23S ribosomal RNA". It matches the Rfam family "Bacterial large subunit ribosomal RNA". The record is from RNAcentral. Lineage: Bacteria; Pseudomonadati; Pseudomonadota; Gammaproteobacteria; Enterobacterales; Enterobacteriaceae.